This 253-nucleotide ribosomal RNA is filed under the name uncultured bacterium. Its description in RNAcentral is "partial 16S ribosomal RNA". It matches the Rfam family "Bacterial small subunit ribosomal RNA", at positions 524 to 776 of the family's 1533-position model. The record is from RNAcentral.
UACGAAGGGGGCUAGCGUUGCUCGGAAUCACUGGGCGUAAAGGGUGCGUAGGCGGGUCUUUAAGUCAGGGGUGAAAUCCUGGAGCUCAACUCCAGAACUGCCUUUGAUACUGAAGAUCUCGAGUCCGGGAGAGGUGAGUGGAACUGCGAGUGUAGAGGUGAAAUUCGUAGAUAUUCGCAAGAACACCAGUGGCGAAGGCGGCUCACUGGCCCGGUACUGACGCUGAGGCACGAAAGCGUGGGGGGCAAACAGG